RNAcentral lists this long non-coding RNA (368 nucleotides) under Brassica napus (rape). Its description in RNAcentral is "long non-coding RNA (BNAP_LNC026292)". The record is from RNAcentral. Lineage: Eukaryota; Viridiplantae; Streptophyta; Magnoliopsida; Brassicales; Brassicaceae.
GCUCAAUCACUUUAGGAAUCUCCCUCGUAACAUUGCCACUUUGCUUCUUUUCUUUUUGCUUUUGCUUAAUCCUCGUAAGAAUCAAAUGUGCGCUUCUGAAUCUAUCUUAAAAUAUGUCUUUCCGGAAAACAUGAAGGGAACCAUGUUACCCACCAAUCCAUCGUCCUCUUCACCCAACCACCCAAAGUCCGUACCCCAUGCACCUGCCUUCUUAUGUAAUAGACUUCACAUCCAUCUAUGCGAGCAUCCAAAAUAUACUCUGUUGUGAACAUAUUUUGACAGUAAUUUAACAAGAAAAUAUCAAUAAUAUUGGUAAAUAGACUAUCUACACUGCUACUGCUAUUAUUAUUAUUAUCUGAUAACACAAU